CGCCACCGAGGGUUUGGAGGCAGUCGCCAUCCAGCAACAACGGAGGAGGGCAGAGGAGCGACGCUCACAACUUGUAACUUUAAACUAUUCAACUGAAUCCUUCAUUUUACCAGAAAGAGAGAGAGAGAGAGAGGACGACUCAGAGGUGCCAGGAGGAAGAGGAACUACUGACGAGGAGAGGGAAUGCAGCAGCAGCAGCCACGCGGUGACCGGCCGGGCGCUACCCGAUAAUUGGCCACGCUCUGCGUGCCUCUACAUAUUAAGAUGUCCAAAUCAAUAGCGGCGGUGUGUCGUCCGAGGGGCCUGUGGCUCAAGCGGCAUGCAGGGAGCGGGAGGAGGGAAGGGCAGCGCCUCAUCCACAUGCCCUGCCACGGUCAACCCGAUUCGUUGAAAUCUCUUAGGGCAGCAAUGCAGCCGGCGCGAUUUGUUGAUCGGACCGAGACCAUCCAUCAACAAACCUCGCAAACACCGGAAAACCCUGCCGCCGUUCUGAAUAUCGAGCGGCGUCUGGAGAAACGUGGGAUUCAAACUGUGGACCUCGAGCGGGCACUGGUUCCACGCACCUGACCCUCAGACCCCCCCUCCCCAACUCAGCCCCCUCAAUUAAUCAUUAAUAUACUUCACGCGGCUUCACAACAUCAAAAGGAGCAACAAAGACAAAUAUCCCCCGUAUAGCCCGUAACAGGAUGUUGGGGUAAGUGCUGUUAGCGAACACCUAUUAAG
Molecule: non-coding RNA, 723 nt
Organism: Petromyzon marinus (sea lamprey)
Lineage: Eukaryota; Metazoa; Chordata; Hyperoartia; Petromyzontiformes; Petromyzontidae
Source: RefSeq, a predicted model, not a curated record